Molecule: long non-coding RNA, 355 nt
Organism: Chinchilla lanigera (long-tailed chinchilla)
Lineage: Eukaryota; Metazoa; Chordata; Mammalia; Rodentia; Chinchillidae
Exons: 3
Source: RefSeq, a predicted model, not a curated record
UGUGGCCUUGAAGGGGACGUAACAACCCUGCUCCUUCCCCUCUCUUUCUGCUCCCUGGUACCACGAGAUGAGCAUCUUGGCUCCACUUCUCAUCCCCUGCCAUGAUGUGCUGCCUCACUACAGGCCCAAAGAAACAGGGCCAAGCAACCAUGGACUGAAGCCUCAGAAACUGUGCUCGCAUCCUGAUACUCACUGGUAGGCAGAGGAUGUGCGUCUUCACCUCCACAAAUGGCUUUACUCCUUUCAGCUCUGAGGGCCCCAUGUUCCUGGACCUCUCUCUAUUCUGCCCUGCGCUGCACAAGAGGGCUGGGAGAAGGUAUGGAAGCAGAGACACUGGUGAGGAGACGCUUGUGUC